RNAcentral lists this ribosomal RNA (253 nucleotides) under uncultured bacterium. RNAcentral's name for it is "partial 16S ribosomal RNA". It matches the Rfam family "Bacterial small subunit ribosomal RNA", at positions 524 to 776 of the family's 1533-position model. The record is from RNAcentral.
UACGGGGGGGGCAAGCGUUGUUCGGAAUUACUGGGCGUAAAGGGCUCGUAGGUGGCCAACUAAGUCGGACGUGAAAUCCCUCAGCUUAACUGGGGAACUGCGUCCGGUACUGGAUGGCUCGAGUUUGGGAGAGGGAUGCGGAAUUCCAGGUGUAGCGGUGAAAUGCGUAGAUAUCUGGAGGAACACCGGUGGCGAAGGCGGCAUCCUGGACCAACACUGACACUGAGGAGCGAAAGCCAGGGGAGCAAACGGG